UACAGAGGUCUCGAGCGUUAGGCGGAAUCAUUGGGCGUAAAGCGCGUGUAGGCGGUCCGGUAAGUCCGCUGUGAAAGUCGGGGGCUCAACCCUCGAAUGCCGGUGGAUACUGUCGGGCUAGAGUGCGGAAGAGGCGAGUGGAAUUCCUGGUGUAGCGGUGAAAUGCGCAGAUAUCAGGAGGAACACCAAUUGCGAAGGCAGCUCGCUGGGACGUAACUGACGCUGAGACGCGAAAGCGUGGGGAGCAAACAGG
This 253-nucleotide ribosomal RNA is filed under the name uncultured bacterium. Its description in RNAcentral is "partial 16S ribosomal RNA". It matches the Rfam family "Bacterial small subunit ribosomal RNA", at positions 524 to 776 of the family's 1533-position model. The record is from RNAcentral.